This 464-nucleotide ribosomal RNA is filed under the name uncultured bacterium. RNAcentral describes it as "SSU rRNA". It matches the Rfam family "Bacterial small subunit ribosomal RNA", at positions 26 to 518 of the family's 1533-position model. The record is from RNAcentral.
AGGAUUAACGCUGGCGGCGUGCCUGACACAUGCAAGUCGAACGAGGCCGCAAGGCCGAGUGGCGGACGGGUGAGUAACACGUGACCAACCAACCUCGAAGUUGGGAAUAGCUCUGCGAAAGUAGGGGUAAUACCGAAUGUGGCCCAGGGCGGGCAUCCGCCUUGGUCUAAAGAUUCAUCGCUUCGAGACGGGGUCGCGGCCUAUUAGCUUGUUGGUGAGGUAACGGCUCACCAAGGCGAUGAUGGGUAGCUGGUCUGAGAGGACGACCAGCCACACUGGGACUGAGACACGGCCCAGACUCCUACGGGAGGCAGCAGUGAGGAAUCUUCCGCAAUGGGCGAAAGCCUGACGGAGCAACGCCGCGUGUGGGAUGAAGACUCUAGGGUUGUAAACCACUGGUCGGAGGGGACGAUCGUGACGGUACCCUCCAAGAAAGCCCCGGCUAACUACGCGCCAGCAGCCGC